ACACUAUUGCGCUGUGACAGAAAUCAAGGAGAUCUCUGCAGACCAUAACCACUUGCUGAGGGGAGGUUAAAGUUGCUGAAAAUCCUAUUUGACCUUCUCAAUGGAGUUAAUGAGUCAGAAGACUUCCUGUGGAUAAUCCAAUGAGGUGGAUAAAAAGGUCCUGAACUACUUGGCAUGAAGUCAAUGCCAGAGAAUUCCCUUACCCUCUAAUCCCCACGAGCAGAACAGCACAAUCCCAUCUUCUCUCAGGAUUUUAUGGGGUUGUCAUCAUUAUUGUUGAGCUUUCUCUGUGGCCAUUGUCUUUUAUGGGAAAGCACAGUAUAUAAAUUAACAACAAAAUGUCUCCGAUGUCAAUCAGGAGCUCGAUAUUACAAGAUACAGGAGAACUCUGCCCAUAUUCUUGACAUGUUUUCAUUCUUUAUUUUUAUCUACAAUAUCCCAUAGGCCAGGACCCAGUUGUACUGUGUUUAACAUCAAUUUAAGUUUAGUUAAGUAAACUCAAUAUACUUAGUAGAUACUGUUCAAAACUUUUGUUUCUUUGUUUAUUCAGUCUGUUAGAUGUUAUAAAGCAGACUCAGAAAGAAAUGAAGUCUUUUGUGAGCUUCUGAGAUACAACUUCCAAUGCAAAACACUGUAACCUCUGCAGCCUGCAGCUGACUUUUUCUUCCAGAUUUAGGGAUAAUUUUACUAAAAAGCAGUCUGUCACAUUUAAUGAUGCAUUCGGGAUCCAACUGUCUGCUGUGAUUUGAGGUAGAGUUUACCUCAAGGCAUGUUAGCUCCCUGGAUAAUUAGGUGCCCAGUUGCAUCUGGUCAUCUGGGCUCUUGGGAAAGCCAGCAAGAGAGGGACCAACCUUCUGGGAAACAGGGAAAAUUGGAAAACCCAGCCAGACAUCCAUCUGACACCAAGAAAACUGUAUUACCCAGGAGACACGCUCUGCUUCCAGGAACUUCACUCAGCGCCUGUGCAGGAGCAUAGCAAGAGGAAUAGGACUCUGUUAGAAGUGGGUGAACCUCACGGAGUCUGACAUUUUGCAAGCAACUCACAUUUUAAUUCUGUGGGCUUUUCAGAGCUGGUUCCUGCUCACAAAACCCUUUGUACUUGCAGUUUGAACUUUUGUUCCCUGAGGAUGAGUCAAUUAAACAAACACAAAAGAAUGCUGGCUAAGGGCUCUGGGGACAGAAGAGACUACCACAAGUUCAGCUACAGCUGAGGAUGGGUUAUAUGUGGGCUAAAUUCAGCUCUAGAAUUUCUUGGUGGAAUAAAGUUUUCUAAGACUUUCUCUUUAAAUUGUAA
This 1294-nucleotide long non-coding RNA is filed under the name Anas platyrhynchos platyrhynchos (common mallard). RNAcentral describes it as "lncRNA (ENSAPLG00000019193.1)". Lineage: Eukaryota; Metazoa; Chordata; Aves; Anseriformes; Anatidae. The record is from RNAcentral.